UCCCCGAUGCAAGAUGGAAAAUUGCUCAAACA
Molecule: non-coding RNA, 32 nt
Filed under: Homo sapiens (human)
Lineage: Eukaryota; Metazoa; Chordata; Mammalia; Primates; Hominidae
Source: RNAcentral